Molecule: long non-coding RNA, 7492 nt
Organism: Arvicola amphibius (Eurasian water vole)
Lineage: Eukaryota; Metazoa; Chordata; Mammalia; Rodentia; Cricetidae
Exons: 3
Source: RefSeq, a predicted model, not a curated record
GUAAGGUCUGCACUCAGUUCCUACUUCCUCCAUGUCUUUUGGGGAGAGUCGUGUGGUACCAUGGGCUUAGUUCCAUCCGCAUGGGCUCUCCUGCAGGUUGCUAACUUAUGGCCUUCUCAGUGUUCUUGGGAGUGUAGCAAGAAGUCCUCUUCUGCUGGGAGAAAAGCGUGGGGCAGAAGAACUCACCCUGACAGGGAGGAAGACACUGGACUGCUGAGUUGUAGGAGCCGGCUAUGAAGAACUAGUGUCAUAAGAAGCUGAAGACGGUUUUGCUUGAGUUGAACUUUAUUACAUCAAUUCACCUCUGUAUCCAUCAUUUCUCAUAUCCUUUUGGCCACUUAGUUGCCUAUCUAUACAUACAACCAUCAUUUAGAGUUCUAGCUAACUGAGGCCUCUUCUGUGUCAUGCUCUAAGGUUACCAUGGUGAACUGGAUAGAUCUGCUCUCCAUCUUUGCAAGCCCACAGCUGGAAGGGGUUAGAGAAUAGUGAAAGUGGCCAUCUGUGUGGGUGGAUGCUCAUAAGAGGGCUGCACUGUAGUCAGAAUACACUGAACACACAUGCACCCUGCUUACACUAUGUGGCUAGAUGGACGGAGAUGGACAAAUGGACAUGAGAAAGAAUAGAUAGUCUAUAAAAUAGAUGGAUAUAGUAAAGCCCAAUUCAGAGUUUCUGUCUUAUUGAAAAGAUGACAGAAUUAUUCUUAUAGCCAAGAACUUUUUUUACUUGAUAUUUAAGGCUUAUAUACUAAGUUGAGAGGAAAACUAAGAUGGUAAAUUAGCUUGAGUCUUCUUGAUCCAUCUGUCCUCCUCUGUGAUGAGCAGAGGAGUUCAUUCAGAGCUGUUAGGCUGGGUUCUUCCUCUAAUUUUUAAAACCCUUGCUUCUCUUUGCUACAUGGAAAAUGAUAGUACAGUCAGCUCCCUGGACCACUGGGUUCUUUAUCCCUUUAUCCAGGUAUUCAAUUAACCUCUGGUUUAAAAGUUUUAUUAGAAAAACAAAUUGUGUCCAUACUAAGCAUGUGUAAAACUUUUCCUGGUCAUGUUGCCCUAAAGAAUGUUGCAUAAUAACUAUUUAUACAACAUGCACAUUGUAUUUGUUAUUAUGAAUAAUCUUGAAGGGAUUUAAAAUGUAUGGAAAGAUAUAUGCAAGCUAUAUGCAAAAUUACAUCAUCUUCUAAUAAGAGGCAUGAGCGCUGUGUAUUUGAGUAUUCACAGUAGGUUCUGGAGUCAAUGUUCUCAGAGCCUGGCAGUCAACUGUGUUCAUUCUCUCUAUUGCUGUUGUGAGACUUGCCCUGGUGCUUAGUAUGGUCACACUGUAAGCCUCUAGCUUAUUCCUAUUAAACCCCAGAGGGCUGGAGCAGUGCUUUCUUGCUUUUCAAAUGAUAAGUAGCAAUCAUGGCAUAUUUAAAGCAAAGUAAUUACAUCCUUCACAUAACUUACUGAUGGGACUGCAGUUACUCUAGUGCAUUAUCAACAUUCUCUCUCUCUCUCUCUCUCUCUCUCUCUCUCUUUCUUUCUCUCUUUCUGUGUGUGUGUGUGUUUCAGGGAUAUAGAUAUGUCUAGGUUGAACUCCCCUUUGUAUAAAUAGCACUAAAUUGUAUCUUUAAGUGGUUUGAAAAGUAUUGUGUCUUAGCACAAGGAAGACUAAGGAAGGAAAGAAUAGAAAGGUUUUCUUCGCAAGGAGAUAUAAGAACCUCACAAUUUUAGGAGAGAAUGUAGCAGGUUGUGGUACCAAAAGCAGAGCCUGUAACGUGUCUGGUAAGAAGAAGAGUCACAAGUGUGCACCACUGUAGGCAGAAGCUUGUAGUCCUGACUGUAGGGCUCUGCUCCUCAUCCCAAGACAAUGCUGGCACAUGCAGCUCCCCUUGCCAGUUGCUUGAUUUUUAGGAAGAGUAAGAUGGUUAUUCACCCCCAUGAAAAGGCCCUAGGAGCCAGGAAGAAAAUGGCUACAAAGAGCAGCCAUGAGGGUCCCUUUUAGUCCAGGAAUAGGCAAGGCACAGAGCUAUCUUCCACUGUCACCAAAGCAGAGGCCUUCUGCAUUCUCCAUCCCGCCCCCUGCCCCGCCGCCCCCUUCUUAGUACUAAAAAUUUAGUUGUGUUUUUCAUCCAAGAGUAUCUACUAACAUCCCAGCGCUGCUGUGAUAAAUCCCCUAAGCUGAAGGGCUUACAGAAACACAUUAUUACUUCAAGUUCAGGUGGGGCUUUGGGUGUUCUGCUUCUGGUACACCCAGGGCACAAUUAAAGCCUCAGUGGGAAGCCUUCUCCUCUGGAGGCUGGGCUGGGAAGAAUUCACUGCCAGACUCCUUCAGAUGGCUGGCAGUUCAUUUUCUUGGGGCUGUUUUAGGACUGAGGAGCUGCCUGGGGCUCUCAGCUAGAAACUUCCUUCAUUAGCAACCAUGGAGAACUCCCUGCAAUGGGCCUCUCAACAUGGCGGCUUACCUCACCACACCAGUGAGGAGUGUUUCCAGGGUAGAUGUGUGAUGGAGAAUUUAGAAACGUAGUCUUGGUAGGGACUGCUCAUCCUCUUUACCGUAUUCUUUGGUUAGGACAAAUUCAGAUCCCAGUCAGCCAUGGGCACGGUGAAGAGAUCAGGAGUGGAGAGAGUGGAGGCCCUUAUACUCCGUACCUCACUGUGACUCAAUCUUUCACUUCAACAGGCAUUUUAGUGGCAAGAAUAACUUCAGGCUCUCCCUCUAGGUCUCUUCUGCAAUCAUAGCCUCUCUAGAUGGUGUUCUCAUCAAUUCCUGGUCUCCACCUCCAAAAUACUUUUCCAUCCUCUGGAAUCUGGCCAUGCUCUGGGGAAGACUUUCUUGACACCAGACAAAGGUGCAUUACCUGUUUAACUCCCUCUCUUGACCCACUUCUGUUUAUCUUUUCAAUUUUGUAUUUGUUUUGCAUAAUAGCUAGAUGCAUUGUGUCCUGGAUUCUUGCCUUCAGCACUUUUGAACUUAAUUAAAUAUUUGAUAUCCAUUUAAUUUUCCUUCCUACAGAUUGUUUGGUUAGUUUUGAAUUAUUGUAGCGACUCCCCUUUGAUGGGACUCGAUGAUGCUGAAGUAGUGGACAAUCCACUAGUCAAUAAGAAGCUUGUAUUAUUUUUCUUUCCAAGUGUUAUUCUGGUCCCAUGUCCACAAACAGCAUUAGAUUCUAGAAAAUACUCUUCCCAAACAAGAAUUCAGCAAGAGAGAAGUAAUUCAAAUGUUUCCAAGGACUUUUCCUGUUCUUUGAGAAAUCAGUUGCCAGAAGAGAGAAUGCCUUGUUUUUUCCCCUGCUUCCCACUGUGAGGCUAGGGGCUUCCUCCCAGCAAGCAUGGCAGUGAGGUCAGCCUCUAGGGGCUCUGUGGUGAGGACAGAUGCCCUGGGCAGUGGUGGAGGGGACACUGAGUCCUUGCCUGUGGUAGCAUGGCUGCACAUGUUAGUUCCAGAGCCGGCCAUCACUUUCAAUCCCAGAUCCGUUAUUUACAACUCAAGUACCCUAGAAGGAGAUAUUUGGCCAAUGUGCCUCAGUCUCCUCAUGAGUAAGACAGGGAACAAGACCGCAUGUGGAAUGCUUGAGUUUCACACAGCCUAACACUGGGAACCCACACAUGUUAACUGAUAAUGACCACCCCCACCCCGGGGCUUCAUUUCUGGUAGUGUUCUAGGACAUCAACGAGGCUUUAUAUUUUCUGGAACUGUCUUCCUCAGUUUUAAAAUGUGAAAUUUCGAGGAAGACACCAAUAUGAAGCAAUGAGUUGUUCUAAUGUAACUUUCUAACCAAUACCUUCGUACCCAUUUCAUUCUCCUGUUGAACAGUAUCUCUUGUAGUGGAUAUUCAUCUUCUAGUAAUUUCUUUAUCAGGGUUAUAAAGACUUAUCUGACCUGAAGGGUGCUGUCUUUCUUAUUAUUUCUCAGAUUAUUUCUCAGUUUAACUAACUAUUUUCAUGUCCCAGGAAUGUUCACACUUGCUUAUAAUCUCAGCACUCUGGAGUAGGAUCGCACAUUUGAGGCUAUCCUGGGCUACAUUCAGGGACCAUAGAUUUGCACUAGUCUUCAUUUACAGUGGGGAAAGGAGAACCAGGGCCAGGGCCAUGCAGGCUAAUGUCACCCUUCACCAUGUAUGCCACUUGGCCAAGAUGAGCAGAAUGGCCCAGAGUGCUGACACACAAGAGGGCGUGUGCCACCAACACUGCUUGCUCUGCAGGUGGGUGUGAGGGACGUUUCUAGCUGUCCAGAUGCCACCGCAGAUCAGCAAGACCUAGAUUCCAGAAUGUUCUGGAAGUCUCACUCCAUAAUUUUCAAAAUUUACAACAAUAAGUUGGGCCUCUGGGUACACUUGGAUGAUGUAUGUUUUACUUGGGAACUUUGAAUUGUGUUGUUUUUCCACUAGGAUCUGAUUACAGAAUGUCCAAAAUGACCGACAAUUCUGUCAGGACAGUAGGUUAGGGAAAUGCUGACACGGAGUUACGUAGCUACUUUAUGUGGGGCUUUUAGCUAAAUGGGAGUGAGAAGAAGAACCUAUCACCAAGCUCUAGGAGAAAGUUUCAUGAGCCGACCUACGUCCACAGGUGAGACAGCCAUCAGACGGGAAGCCCAGCAGCUCUGUUGACAGCGGUGGCCAGGGACACACUCUCGAUUGUUAUUGGUCAGGUACUGUCCGGUAACUACAGCAGCAGUUCAUUUAUUUAAUAUACAUAAUUGCAAUAUUUAAAAGAAUUUAAAAAUUCCAAAGGCCUCAAAAAUACCUUCUCCCACAUUACUGGGCAUUGGCACUUAGCAUAAUCUUUUUGUUUCUAAUUUAAAAUAGAUUUUCCAUCUAAUUUAUUGGAAAGCUGGGGCAACACCAUGGGUCAUAUUUCAUUACCUUCUUAUUAAUGGCACCUAAUACAUAUGCGUCUGCAAUAACGUGUUAACUUAAAUUAUGUUAUUCAAUAGUGGGAACCCUUUAACUAGAAGUGUGUGCUUUUGGAGUCGAUUAUAAUUUGGGAAAUUUUCAUUAUAUUUGUAAAUUUUUGUGAACUGGUCUAAAAAUACAGCGUCGAACUGAUCACUUUUAAUUUUGUGCGAAUGUCUUUAAAAGUUGCCUUUAAUUCCCAAAUUAGUGGGAUGGAAGAGGAGAAGCAAUUUGGCUAAUGCUGCUCGGAGCCGCAGCUUGUUAUGAGCUGACCGGUGGAUGGGGACGCUGAUCAAAUUGUCUCUGCUGCAUUAUCCCGGGAAAGACUCUUCCUCCGCGGCUCGUUCAGACCAGAGCACCGCUGAGCUGCUGAUGGAGGGUGUGGAAAGCACUGACAGAGAGAACAGAAAAUAUUUGACUCCGAACACAUUUUUAAAACACGAUGGUGUUGAUAGUCCUUUCAGUUAAGUUUUGGCCCCACGUCCUCCCUUCAUUUAUGUAAUUAUUUGGGGACAAGGAUGGCCAAGUGAUGAUGACUCUUCGUCUGAAACCCAGAUUUGCUGGCAUCGUACGCACUGUUGCGGGGCUGGCACUUCCAUCUGAUGGAAGUGGCUUACAUUAAGAGAUUUGUUGUCAGGCUUCCAAAGGCAGAGAUGGCAGGAAGCUUGUUGACUUUAAUGUGAUUGAUUAGUGACCUAUAUUCUAAAUGGUGCACCUCGAAAAGUGUGCAAAAUUGUCCUUUCUCGGGUUGGAGAUUGCCGCUGCACAGCCGUGUCAGCUGAUCCUAACUGAGCAGCUCCUGGGGUCUUCACCGCCAUGCUCUGGAGAAGGCUUGUUUCUGGCGUCUCUCCUCUAGAGCCGUGUACCCCGGACCCGGCAGCCUCAAGUUGAACUCUGUGCAUAAGGCCAGGUGAAGUGAGUUUCCACUGACUUUGGGUACAAAUGAGAACACAACAGGGCGCCUUUCUGGCUCCCUUUUAUUUUCCCAAAUUACCUAUGGGUGCAAUUUCCAGAGCAGGUGUGGCUAGAAGGGCCAGAGGGCCACAGAACCAAGGCAGGGUGUCAGCAAACUCAUAGCUCAAGCCAAAGUUUGCUAAGGAAGUUCCUGGUCAGAAUGUUCCUUCCUCUCUUGGGAGGCCUGAAGCUUUGCCCCAAGGACUGAAGCCUCGACCUGUAGGCUGCAGCAGCGCACAGCACUUGGCGUAGGGCUGGCCAUCUAGGGCAGCCAGGGGCUAUCGCUCACUCAUGAGAGGAAGAAUCACGAAUGGAGGAGAGAGUUCGAGAGAAGGGACUCUUGGAGAAGGUUAUCAGCGGAGGAUCGGUGAGUUUCGUAUUCCAGGGACACCCUUCAGCUGAGCAUUAAACUGUGUGUCGUCAGGCUCAGGCGCUUUUCCCUCAGGAUGCCCGUCACAGUCUAUUUUCUGCUUUUCUGGCAGAAUACCCGUAAGUAAGUAACCUAUAAGCUACAGGAACUUACUGUCCUGUGGAUCUACAGGCUGUGAAGUCCAAGAUCAAGGCCCUAGCACACAGUGAGAGCUUUUUAAUUGUAUCAUAAUAAAGGAAAGGGCAAGGACAGCAAGAGAGACAGGAGAUAUACACGUAUGUAUAUAUGUAUACAUGCAUGUAUGUAGUGUGCAUGUUAUGUAUGUGUUGCCGUGUAUGUAUGUAUAUCCCUCUCUCCCCAUUCCUGUCUCCUUUGCUGUUCAGGACUUUGGAUUCUGCUGUCUACAUUAUCUAAGGAAAACAUUCCAGUAACAGGGUUGACGUGGCCCCUCCCUACGUCUCUUCCACUGCUCCCCAAGCUGCUUUCAUUCAUUUCCAUCGGCACCGUUUCCAGAUGAGUGAAGACGCAGAGUAAUCCCCUCACUUAACCUUGCUCCACCUGUGUCCCUGGCUGGCCUCACAGCGAUCUCACAGAUGGACGACAGAGUAAUUGUUGGAGUGCCCAGGAAGAAGAUGGAGCCCCACAACAACGACUCCACUUGGUUGAUAUAAUGUCAUUACACUGGGGUCCCACAGCAACAACUCUACCUAGUUGAUACAAUGUCAUUAUGCUGAUAGCACCACUUUAAGAUGGGUUUUGGGUUACAAACUGCUCGAGAUGAUUCCAACUUGGCUGGCUGAGAUGGUGCACCUUCUUACAAUGUUCUGGCCAGAACUUCAAAUAAGAACUUCAGAAAAAUCCUACCGGCUACUCAGAGACUAUCUUCAAUUAUACCAGACAGUAAUCUUGAAACCUAACCAUUAUUUUAAUUUUUAAGGAUCCCAUAGAAAUUAUAUCACCCCCAUGACAGCUGGAAGUAAUUCUAGAAAACGACUUCCUCUCUCCCAACACAGUUUGUCUUCAUGGUUAGGGACAUCUAGUAGGGGUUGGUUAUAACUGGAAUAGGGUUGAGGGUGGAAAUAAAGAAGACUCAGGGAUCUCUCUUGAAAAAAGGGUGGAGAAAAUAGAUGGGAUGGGAUAAUAGGUAGAUUAGUUUGAGUUUACUCACACGAAUAACAAUAGUAAUAUUGAGAUUACUUAUGAGCUAUUAUUUAUAGACAAUUUAUAUUGGUAUAGAUUCUUGUAAUUGAUACAAAUUCAAAUUAUAUUUGUUAUAAUAAAUAUCGUCCUAUUUCUGUUUACAA